This 118-nucleotide small RNA is filed under the name Drosophila erecta. Its description in RNAcentral is "GG27156". Lineage: Eukaryota; Metazoa; Arthropoda; Insecta; Diptera; Drosophilidae. The record is from RNAcentral.
GGAUGCGAAAAAGAGCAGAGUUUUUGAACUGGGCAAAACUGAAAUCGAGGCGGAAAAAGACCCACAUCAUGCGGCUGCUGUUCCCCUACGCUCUCUCCCCCUUUCCCGCUUUUCCCGC